UGGGGAAUAUUGCACAAUGGGCGAAAGCCUGAUGCAGCAACGCCGCGUGAGUGAUGAAGGUCUUCGGAUUGUAAAGCUCUGUCUUUUGGGACGAUAAUGACGGUACCAAAGGAGGAAGCCACGGCUAACUACGUGCCAGCAGCCGCGGUAAUACGUAGGUGGCGAGCGUUGUCCGGAUUUACUGGGCGUAAAGGGUGCGUAGGCGGAUGUUUAAGUGAGAUGUGAAAUACCCGGGCUUAACUUGGGUGCUGCAUUUCAAACUGGAUAUCUAGAGUGCAGGAGAGGAGAAUGGAAUUCCUAGUGUAGCGGUGAAAUGCGUAGAGAUUAGGAAGAACACCAGUGGCGAAGGCUGAUUCUCUGGACUGUAACUGACGCUGAGGCACGAAAGCGUGGGUAGCAAACAGGAUUAGAUACCCUGGUAGUCCACGCCGUAAACGAUGAGUACUAGGUGUAGGAGGUAUCGACCCCUUCUGUGCCGCAGUAAACACAUUAAGUACUCCGCCUGGGAAGUACGAUCGCAAGAUUAAAACUCUAAAGUGAAUUGAC
RNAcentral lists this ribosomal RNA (546 nucleotides) under uncultured bacterium. RNAcentral's name for it is "partial 16S ribosomal RNA". It matches the Rfam family "Bacterial small subunit ribosomal RNA", at positions 355 to 914 of the family's 1533-position model. The record is from RNAcentral.